CCUAUCAGAUGUCGCUAAGGUUGGGAAGUAUUCUGUGUAACUGUUUCUUGCUGAUUAUUACCUUUAAAGCACCUACAGAUUUUGGUACAUUCUUUUGUAAAGUCCCGACGUUUCCAGGCAUAAAUAAACGGAUUUAUUAUACUGUUGAAUAAGCCAAGAAACACUAACCAGUUCAUAACGUUUAAUUCUGUAAUCGUGAUUUGAUCAAUUCCGAUCCCUUUCCGGAAUUGAAACGACGUAAAUGGCAGCCAACAAAACGAAAAUGCCAACGUUACGAUACCUGUAAUUUUUGCACUCCGCACAUCACGAUCCAUGGUCUUAGAUUUCGCAGUUUGUUGAUUGUUCAUAGAACCACCACUCACUGGUGCGACUCUAGAAUAAAACCGCCAAGCCGCUUUUAGUAUCAAAAUAUACAUUACAAAGGUUAUCAUGCUGAAACUAUACAUAAUAAGUGACGAUGCCAAGUAGAAACCCCUACGAAAUAAAAAUAAGUAAUCACAUGGAAAACCAGGGCUCCAAACGUGCAAACCCCAGAAUGGGAGAACAACAAAAAAUAAACAGAAUAUCCAUGGAAACAGAGACAAAAUAAUUGUUACAUUCGUUGUUAUAACUUUUGCGUACUGAUGCGGAUGACAUAUUGCAAUGUAUCUGUCUAACACUGCGAACAAGACUGUCAAUUGGGAUACCAGUGUCGUGUAACUGAUUAGCAGGUAUCGCAGAAAACAAACUGUCAUGUUAUUUGAGAUACUUGGAUACAUAAAAUAAAAUAUUUGUAUUCCUGCUACUAUUCCAGUCAACAUGUCCGCAACUGCUAAAUUAACCACAAACUUGUUUGUAUUGGUUUUAAGUUUAAGUUUACUGAUAAAUAUAAAUAUUACAAGGCUGUUGCCAAAAAGAGCAGUAACGAAUACUAGUUGUUGCAAAAC
This 926-nucleotide long non-coding RNA is filed under the name Mytilus galloprovincialis (Mediterranean mussel). Lineage: Eukaryota; Metazoa; Mollusca; Bivalvia; Mytilida; Mytilidae. The record is from RNAcentral.